GAUGAACGCUGGCGGCGUGCCUAAUACAUGCAAGUCGAGCGAACAGACGAGGAGCUUGCUCCUCUGACGUUAGCGGCGGACGGGUGAGUAACACGUGUAUAACCUACCUAUCAGACUGGUAUCACUUCGGGAAACCGGCGCUAAUACCGGAUAAUAUCUUGCACCGCAUGGUUCAAUAGUGAAAUACGGUUUUUCUGUCACUUCUAGCUGCAUCCGCGCCGCUUUAGCUAGUUGGUAGGGUAACGGCUUACCAAGGCGACGAUGCGUAGCCGACCUGAGAGGGUGAUAGGCCACACGAGAGCUGAGACACGGUCCAGACUCCUAAGGGAGGCAGCAGUAGGGAAUCGGCCGCAAUGGGCGAAAGCCUGACGGAGCAACGCCGCGUGAGUGAUAAAGGUCUUCGGAUCGUAAAACUCUGUUAUUAGGGAAGAACAAAUGUGUAAGUAACUAUGCACGGCGUGACGGUAACUAAUCAGAAAGCCACGGCUAACUACGUG
RNAcentral lists this ribosomal RNA (497 nucleotides) under uncultured bacterium. RNAcentral's name for it is "partial 16S ribosomal RNA". It matches the Rfam family "Bacterial small subunit ribosomal RNA", at positions 28 to 507 of the family's 1533-position model. The record is from RNAcentral.